GGAAUAUUGGACAAUGGGCGCAAGCCUGAUCCAGCAACGCCGCGUGGAGGAUGAAGGUCUUCGGAUUGUAAACUCCUGUCAGGCGGGACGAAGGAUCCGGGGUAAAUAAUCCCGGAUCUUGACGGUACUGCCAGAGGAAGCCCCGGCUAACUCCGUGCCAGCAGCCGCGGUAAUACGGAGGGGGCGAGCGUUAUUCGGAAUUAUUGGGCGUAAAGGGCGCGUAGGCGGCCCUGUAAGUCAAAGGUGAAAUCCCUCGGCUCAACUGAGGAACUGCCUUUGAAACUGCAGGGCUUGAGUCCGGGAGGGGGUAGCGGAAUUCCCAGUGUAGCGGUGAAAUGCGUAGAUAUUGGGAGGAACACCGGUGGCGAAGGCGGCUACCUGGACCGGCACUGACGCUGAGGCGCGAAAGCGUGGGGAGCAAA
Molecule: ribosomal RNA, 422 nt
Filed under: uncultured bacterium
Lineage: Bacteria
Description: bacterial SSU rRNA
Rfam family: Bacterial small subunit ribosomal RNA
Source: RNAcentral